Molecule: ribosomal RNA, 492 nt
Filed under: uncultured bacterium
Lineage: Bacteria
Description: partial 16S ribosomal RNA
Rfam family: Bacterial small subunit ribosomal RNA
Source: RNAcentral
AGUGAACGCUGGCGGUAGGCCUAACACAUGCAAGUCGAACGGCAGCACAGUAAGAGCUUGCUCUUACGGGUGGCGAGUGGCGGACGGGUGAGGAAUACAUCGGAAUCUACUUUUUCGUGGGGGAUAACGUAAGGAAACUUACGCUAAUACCGCAUACGACCUACGGGUGAAAGCAGGGGAUCUUCGGACCUUGCGCGAUUGAAUGAGCCGAUGUCGGAUUAGCUAGUUGGCGGGGUAAAGGCCCACCAAGGCGACGAUCCGUAGCUGGUCUGAGAGGAUGAUCAGCCACACUGGAACUGAGACACGGUCCAGACUCCUACGGGAGGCAGCAGUGGGGAAUAUUGGACAAUGGGCGCAAGCCUGAUCCAGCCAUACCGCGUGGGUGAAGAAGGCCUUCGGGUUGUAAAGCCCUUUUGUUGGGAAAGAAAAGCAGCAGGUUAAUACCCCGCUGUUCUGACGGUACCCAAAGAAUAAGCACCGGCUAACUUCGUG